UACGUAGGGUGCGAGCGUUGUCCGGAAUUAUUGGGCGUAAAGAGCUUGUAGGCGGUUUGUCGCGUCUGCCGUGAAAGCCCAGGGCUUAACCCUGGGUCUGCGGUGGGUACGGGCAGACUAGAGUGUGGUAGGGGAGACUGGAAUUCCUGGUGUAGCGGUGAAAUGCGCAGAUAUCAGGAGGAACACCGGUGGCGAAGGGCGGCCUGCUGGGGCUAUGGCUGACACUGAGGCGCGGACAGCGUGGGGGAGCAAACAGG
RNAcentral lists this ribosomal RNA (257 nucleotides) under uncultured bacterium. RNAcentral's name for it is "partial 16S ribosomal RNA". It matches the Rfam family "Bacterial small subunit ribosomal RNA", at positions 524 to 776 of the family's 1533-position model. The record is from RNAcentral.